UGAAGCUGGCACCUUCGGUGUCCGCGUUGUAAUCUCGAGACGUGUUUUCCGUGCGGCUCUAUGGACAAGUCCCUUGGAAUAGGGCAUCGUAGAGGGUGAGAAUCCCGUACUUGCCAUGGAAGAACCGUGCUUUGCGAUACACGCUCUAAGAGUCGAGUUGUUUGGGAUUGCAGCUCAAAAUGGGUGGUAGACUCCAUCUAAAGCUAAAUAUCGGGGAGAGACCGAUAGCGAACAAGUACCGUGAGGGAAAGAUGAAAAGCACUUUGGAAAGAGAGUUAAAAGUACGUGAAAUUGUCGAAAGGGAAGCACUUGAAGUCAGCCAUGCUGCUUGAGACUCAGCCUGGCCUUUGGGCUUGGUGUAUUUCUCGGUGGCAAGCCAGCAUUGGUUUGGGUCGUCGGAGAAGCGCAUAGGGAAUGUGGCGUCUCCGGACGUGUUAUAGCCUUAUGCAGGAUACGACGACCUGGAUCAAGGAACGCAGUGU
Molecule: ribosomal RNA, 482 nt
Filed under: Malassezia globosa
Lineage: Eukaryota; Fungi; Basidiomycota; Malasseziomycetes; Malasseziales; Malasseziaceae
Description: partial large subunit ribosomal RNA
Rfam family: Eukaryotic large subunit ribosomal RNA
Source: RNAcentral